UGUCUGGAACCUUGGUGAGAGCCGAGGUGCCUUCGGAGCCAGAACACAGGUGGUGCAUGGUUGUCGUCAGCUCGUGUCGUGAGAUGUUGGUUAAGUCCCGCAACGAGCGCAACCCUUGUCUUUAGUUGCCAUCAUUAAGUUGGGCACUCUAAAGAGACUGCCGAUGACAAAUCGGAGAAGGUGGGGAUGACGUCAAAUCAUCAUGCCCUUUAUGUCCUGGGCUACACACGUGCUACAAUGGUCGGUACAACGAGAAGCAAGUCAGCGAUGGCAAGCAAAUCUCUAAAAGCCGAUCCCAGUUCGGAUUGCAGGCUGCAACUCGCCUGCAUGAAGUCGGAGUUGCUAGUAAUCGCGGAUCAGAAUGCCGCGGUGAAUGCGUUCCCGGGUCUU
This 390-nucleotide ribosomal RNA is filed under the name uncultured Eubacteriales bacterium. RNAcentral describes it as "bacterial SSU rRNA". It matches the Rfam family "Bacterial small subunit ribosomal RNA", at positions 987 to 1382 of the family's 1533-position model. Lineage: Bacteria; Bacillati; Bacillota; Clostridia; Eubacteriales. The record is from RNAcentral.